AGUGAACGCUGGCGGUAGGCCUAACACAUGCAAGUCGAACGGCAGCACAGGAGAGCUUGUUCUCUGGGUGGCGAGUGGCGGACGGGUGAGGAAUACAUCGGAAUCUACUCUGUCGUGGGGGAUAACGUAGGGAAACUUACGCUAAUACCGCAUACGACCUACGGGUGAAAGCAGGGGCUCUUCGGACCUUGCGCGAUUGAAUGAGCCGAUGUCGGAUUAGCUAGUUGGCGGGGUAAAGGCCCACCAAGGCGACGAUCCGUAGCUGGUCUGAGAGGAUGAUCAGCCACACUGGAACUGAGACACGGUCCAGACUCCUACGGGAGGCAGCAGUGGGGAAUAUUGGACAAUGGGCGCAAGCCUGAUCCAGCCAUACCGCGUGGGUGAAGAAGGCCUUCGGGUUGUAAAGCCCUUUUGUUGGGAAAGAAAUCCAGCUGGCUAAUACCCGGUUGGGAUGACGGUACCCAAAGAAUAAGCACCGGCUAACUUCGUGCCAGCCGCCGCCGUAA
This 506-nucleotide ribosomal RNA is filed under the name uncultured bacterium. RNAcentral describes it as "partial 16S ribosomal RNA". It matches the Rfam family "Bacterial small subunit ribosomal RNA", at positions 29 to 523 of the family's 1533-position model. The record is from RNAcentral.